GACGAACGCUGGCGGCGUGCUUAACACAUGCAAGUCGAACGGAAAGGCCCUGCUUUUGUGGGGUGCUCGAGUGGCGAACGGGUGAGUAACACAUGAGUAACCUGCCCUUGACUUUGGGAUAACUUCAGGAAACUGGGGCUAAUACCGGCUAGGAGCUCCUGCUGCAUGGUGGGGGUUGGAAAGUUUCGGCGGUUGGGGAUGGACUCGCGGCUUAUCAGCUUGUUGGUGGGGUAGUGGCUUACCAAGGCUUUGACGGGUAGCCGGCCUGAGAGGGUGACCGGCCACAUUGGGACUGAGAUACGGCCCAGACUCCUACGGGAGGCAGCAGUGGGGAAUAUUGCACAAUGGGCGGAAGCCUGAUGCAGCAACGCCGCGUGCGGGAUGACGGCCUUCGGGUUGUAAACCGCUUUCGCCUGUGACGAAGCGUGAGUGACGGUAAUGGGUAAAGAAGCACCGGCUAACUACGUG
This 468-nucleotide ribosomal RNA is filed under the name uncultured bacterium. RNAcentral's name for it is "partial 16S ribosomal RNA". It matches the Rfam family "Bacterial small subunit ribosomal RNA", at positions 28 to 507 of the family's 1533-position model. The record is from RNAcentral.